GGGAAAAAAAACCACACACAAAAGCCUCUGAUCCAGCUGGCAAACUAAAGAGCCCAUCACAACAGAGCUGGAGUUACAGUGAAACGACUGCAACAAGUGGUAGGCGAGGCAAUGAGAGUUCCAGAAAAGGAGGAGACAAAAGGUUUGACCUGGACAAAGGAAGGGAAGUGAGGGGCGGGAUGAAUGAGCAGAUCAGUACAGGGCAGUGGAGGGAAGGAAGGCCAGGGGAAGGCUCCAGACUGGACAGCAAGGCAAUGCAAGGUGUGGGGAAACAAGGCAGGGCAAGGGAAGGGACAGGAAUGGCAAGGAAAUGCAAAGGAGGUGUAGGCCUGGCAAGGCAUGGCCCUGGAGAAGAGGAGGAGGCAGGUCAAGAGUGGGGCACGCAGGAGAAUGCAAAGCAAAGGAGGUUUAGCAGGGCAAGGCCAGGAAACUCUUGGGUUGCCAAGGCAAGUGACAGGUACAUUGAAGGAUUGCUGGUACACAAAAGCGGCCAGGACAGACUGCUCUGUGUGGCCUUGAUCUUGCAUGGGCCUUCUCUAAUCUGCACCUAAAACACUUGGGUUACCUGCUUUCCUUGGGAUGCAAAAGAGCUGUCAUUCUGGUCCUGAAGCCCAAGGGUGAAACGAGAAUUUUGUGUCCAAAAUUCAAGACAGAUGCCAGAAGAAAGCUGCCAGGACAGGUGGGUGUGCUUGCACCUCUGGUCUUCCUGUGACAUGCUCCUGAAACACUGGAGGUACCUGUAAGCCUUGAGAGUCCUGGGAGGAGAAGGCAGGGCAAGACAAGUUAAAAAAUUCCACAGAAAGAGGGGUAUUGAAUUCCAGGUGGGGGACGGGUGAGAAAGGUAAUGCAAGGCAAGAAAAGUGGUGGCUUUGCCAGGCAAGACCAAGGAGAGGCAGGCAAGGCAAUGGGAGACCCAGAAAGAGAAGGAAAUGAAAGAUUGGAGCUGGGCAAAAGGGAAAGGAAACUGGACAAACUGGAAAGGGGGGUGGGUGAGCAAGUCACUGCAAGGCACUGGAUGGGUAGGAAGGGCAAGGGAAGGACACGGAUGGGUCAGGAAGGCAGAGGAAGGGAAUGGUCAGGAAUGACAAGGAAAUACAAGGUUGGGUAGGAAAGGCAUGGCAAUGUAGGGGUAGGCAACACAAUGGGUGUCUUAAGAAGAAAAGACCAUGCAUGGCAAGGCCAAGAGAAAUGUGGUAGAGAAGUCAGUGUGGGGGAUAGGUGAGUGCUGCUGAGAAAGAAAGUGUCUAACUCCAGUGCAGGUGUGUGUGUGUGUGAAGUGUGCAGGAUGUAAAGCAAAGAAAGCUGUCACUUGACUGCAGAGUGAAGGGAUGUUUUCAAAUGUAAGCAGCAAGGUCCAAGCAACCUUUUUGUCCUGGCACAUUUGUGUCUGUGAGAUGUCGCCAGAAACUUCUCAGUUUAGAUUCAGACUGCAAGCAGGACACGUAACACCCCCAGAAUCUAAGCUGAGCAGGAAGGCAUGUAGCAUCAGCAUGUUUGGACAGAAAGAGUUUGUCUGUGGGAGCAGGAGAUGGAUGUGUUGGCCUCUGGCAGUGUGACACUACGCUCAGCUGAGGAGCAUGGUGCAGUGCUUCAGUGCACGCUCUGAAAAUGAAAGGCUGCAAGGAAAAGGCAAAGGAGCAGGCAGUCUGUCAUGAAGGAAUCAACUGAAAAGUGACAUAUUACCUGUGACUAGAGAUGCUCUACAUCCUUCGAAGAGACAGCACAUCUCCCCAUUUUUUUCAUUUGGUGGCUACCACCAGUUAUUUAAGAGUGAGGUUUGGCUGUUCAAGAGACAAGUGGCAGGAUCUGGCAGACAGCAAGAUGAUGUAAAGCUUGGAGUGCUUCUUUCUGGCCACUGGAAUGAGUUAGAGAAUGGAGCUUGAAUCAAAAUCCACUAAUCAAGAUCCACUGUUCUACAGCUGCUUUUGCAGCACAGCUGGCAAC
Molecule: non-coding RNA, 1944 nt
Organism: Cyanistes caeruleus (blue tit)
Lineage: Eukaryota; Metazoa; Chordata; Aves; Passeriformes; Paridae
Source: RefSeq, a predicted model, not a curated record